AGGAUCAUUAAUGAAUUGUAAUGGAAGUUGAUGCUGGCAAGCUAAUUCUUUGGCUGUACGUGCUCACUUCUAACAAUCUUUAUCCAAACACCCGUGCACCUUUGUGAAGGGGAAGGAUCUUGCAGGGAUGGGUUUGCCAACUUUUUGGUAACUUAAUUUCUUGUCGGUUUCCUUCCCUCCACAUAUACACAUACUCCUUUGUAAUUUGUUGAACGUGAUUGUGCCAUAAGGCUCAUAAUAUAAUACAACUUUUAACAACGGAUCUCUUGGCUCUCGCAUCGAUGAAGAACGCAGCGAAAUGCGAUAAGUAAUGUGAAUUGCAGAAUUCAGUGAAUCAUCGAAUCUUUGAACGCACCUUGCGCUCCCCGGUAUUCCGAGGAGCACACCUGUUCGAGUGUCGUGAAAUUAUCAGACUGUUGAAGUUUUUUUUACCGUUGGUUUAAAAGUUGCCUCAGUUUGGUGUUGGGCUCUGCCGUGCCUUUGAUUGGGACGGCUGGCCUUAAAAGCAUUAGCUGACUCUUGUGAGUGUGUUGGUUCUACUCAGUGUGAUAAUUACUUCUCCUCGCUGAGGACAUCUUUCGAGAUGGCCAAUUCUCAUUUGGGUUGCUUUCUAAUAUGGUUGAUGGGAUCAUUCGAUCUGUCCCGCUUCAAAUUUUGACCUCGAAUCAGGUGGGACUACCCGCUGAACUUAAGCAUAUCAAUAAGCGGAGGAAAAGAAACUAACAAGGAUUCCCUUAGUAACGGCGAGUGAAGCGGGAAAAGCUCAAAUUUAAAAUCUGGCAGUCUUUGAUUGUCCGAAUUGUAAUCUAGAGAAGCGUUUUCCGUGCUGGACUGUGUACAAGUUUCCUGGAUACGGAACAUCAUAGAGGGUGAGAAUCCCGUCCUUGACACAGACUCCCAGUACAAUGUGAUGCGCCCUCGACGAGUCGAGUUGUUUGGGAUUGCAGCUCAAAAUGGGAGGUAAAUUCCUUCUAAAGCUAAAUAUUGGCGAGAGACCGAUAGCGAACAAGUACCGUGAGGGAAAGAUGAAAAGCACUUUGGAAAGAGAGUUAAACAGUACGUGAAAUUGUUAAAAGGGAAACGCUUGAAGUCAGUUAUAUUUGCUUGGACUCAACCUCACUUCGGUUUGGUGCAUUUCCUCGUAGAUAGGCCAGCGUCCAUGUUGUUCGUCAGAAAAGGAGUGAAGGAAUGUGGCUCCUUCGGGAGUGUUAUAGCUUUUGCUCAUAUGUGGGGAAACAAUAUGGAGUGGUACAGC
Molecule: ribosomal RNA, 1255 nt
Filed under: uncultured Clavulinaceae
Lineage: Eukaryota; Fungi; Basidiomycota; Agaricomycetes; Cantharellales; Hydnaceae
Description: eukaryotic LSU rRNA
Rfam family: Eukaryotic large subunit ribosomal RNA (bases 656-1255)
Source: RNAcentral